UACUCUAACUUGGACUUCCUUUGAUGGCU
RNAcentral lists this non-coding RNA (29 nucleotides) under Mus musculus (house mouse). The record is from RNAcentral. Lineage: Eukaryota; Metazoa; Chordata; Mammalia; Rodentia; Muridae.